UUGCGUGUAAAGACCCACCCGAGGCAAUGAUGCCUGCGUAUGUAGGAUGAGGGUAAUAGGGUGGGCAACGCAA
This 73-nucleotide non-coding RNA is filed under the name unclassified sequences. RNAcentral describes it as "DUF3800-X RNA". It matches the Rfam family "DUF3800-X RNA". The record is from Rfam by way of RNAcentral.